GAGGAAUCAGUCUAAAAACCUUUUCGUAAAUGUUCGUAUUUUUCUUGGUGGACACAAUGCUUUUGCACUCCAGAACAGAAAUAUUCUACCGAAAGGCAAAAUGUAUAAACAUUUACCGCACAAAUACGAACAUAACGAAUGGCUUUCAAUUUAAUGCGGAUCAUCUGCAAAUCCAAUGUUGUAGGAAGAUCUGCCACUCAAACGAUAUGCGCCCUAGAAAGGAGUUAAAGGCUUGCAUAAUGAACUAAAUUCGAUUGCACGUGAAUCACAAGUGCUUAUUAUUAUUGUUAAUAAUGAUAAUUAUUUCUAUUAUAACUAAAAAAAAUUAGUAAAUAUUAUAUAUUUAAGUGAAUCACCAGUGUUCUUUAUAAACGAAUUUUUGAGUUGGCAAUGCUGCGUGCAAUUGUCAUUUCGAAUUGACAGCUGUCUCGCUCCUCCAUGGAGGGAAAAUGUUCUUGUUGUGAAAUAAUAUUUAAUGCAUUUGGUAUAUUUGUGAAAAUAAAAUUCAAUUCUUGCCAAAUAAAUAAUUCGUACAUUUCACCAUGUUGUUGGUAUAUACAUAUGUACGCAAUGUGGUUUUAAUCGUUUUCAUUAUUUCUUUACUUACACAUUCUGGGAGAGAAGGAAUAUACAAAAAUAAGCAAGAAAGUUAAUUUUCAAGUCUUUAAUUCGACAACUGAUAUUCAGGGUCUAAAAGUAAAUGUGAACCAUUUAAAUACACACCUUGUUAUUGCUAGGAAAUAUGUUUGAAGCCAUGAGUACCUGUAUGGGAUCCAUGUAAUCACUAACACAUAUUAUUUUGUCAGCUUCCGUUUCCGCUUCCGUGUUAACAUAUACAACCGGACUUCAAUUCUCCGCUAUAGCGAAGAUUAUGCUGCAUUAAAGAAGUCGAAGGAGGUCGAGAAGUUCACUUUUCUGCAAACUAUUAUGUUUUGUCGGCAACAACUUUUUAUGGAGGAGACCAAUUAGAUGAAGCGUUAAACAAAUUCUGUAUGAAAUCGAAAUAUACACCGCAUUAUUGAAAGAUUUUCUAAUAAGACCAAUGCUUUCCCCAAAAGCCAACUAUAAAAUUGUUCACCUAUUUUUCAACUGAUCAGAAAUCUAAAAAUUGUUAAAUCGCAGGAUAUCAAAACGUAAAAAUGUCCAUUUGCUUCUAUGGAAAACAGGUAGUCGACUGGCUAGUUGAACCUGUGGUUCUUGAGGUUGUUUAUAACUGAUUAAUUCGACUGCAGAAUGUAACAGAGUGUAAAUAUGCACCAUACAUAUGAAUUCGAGUACAUCGUCGAACACUCAAACAAAUAAUCCAAGAUACAUAUAUAUCAGAGAUAAAUAUGUACGACCAAUAAACAGAUCGAACCAAGGUUUCACAAUUAUUUCCAAUGCAUGUGCUAUCCCUUUCGAGCAUUUACCAAAAUGCAAAACAAUGGCGGCCAUUAACAUGUGAAAUUAGGUAUUUCACAACUUGAGAUUUCAGUAAUGGCGAAAUUGUAUUGUAUAAAUCAAGAAGCAUGCCAGCGAUGAAUUCAGUACUGGUAAAACGGUUAAUAGUUAAUUUUCGAGAAAAAAAUAAACAAACAAAAGUCCAUUCAACAUGAGAGUCCGACGUAUCGAGCCCAAUCUGGUCGUUUUGGCCGAAAAAUAUAAUGUGAACAAAAUGAUUUGUCGCAAGUGUUAUGCGCGCCUACCGCCCAAGGCCACACAUUGCCGGAAGAAGGACUGUCAUUCCAGCGAUCUUCGUCCUAAAAAGGAGCUGAAGGACUACAGACCGUAAAUAAAAAGUUGCUUGAAAAUAAAUGAGGAUAAACUACCAUACAAAUAUGGCAUGGUAUAUCAACAAUCAUGGUUAUAUAUUUAUAUAAAGUGUGAAGAAGUAGAAAAGGAAAUCUGCGGUACUUCUGGUGGCAAUCUGGAAGUUUCAAUAACUCAGUAAAAUGAAAUUCUAAUUUUUGUGCAAUGUUUUUUCAAAAAUAGAUGCCGAUCCUCGGAACACAGAA
Long non-coding RNA from Zeugodacus cucurbitae (melon fly), 1994 nucleotides. RefSeq lists it as uncharacterized. The transcript is spliced from 3 exons. The record is from RefSeq and is a predicted model, not a curated record. NCBI's taxonomy places the organism in Eukaryota, Metazoa, Arthropoda, Insecta, Diptera, Tephritidae.